This 251-nucleotide ribosomal RNA is filed under the name uncultured bacterium. RNAcentral's name for it is "partial 16S ribosomal RNA". It matches the Rfam family "Bacterial small subunit ribosomal RNA", at positions 524 to 775 of the family's 1533-position model. The record is from RNAcentral.
UACAGAGGGUGCGAGCGUUGUCCGGAAUCACUGGGCGUAAGGGCGCGUAGGUGGCGGGACAAGCGUGCGGUGAAAGCCUGGGGCUCAACCCCGGGUCGGCCGUGCGAACUGUUUUGCUUGAGCACUGUAGAGGCAGGCGGAAUUCCGGGUGUAGCGGUGGAAUGCGUAGAGAUCCGGAAGAACACCGGUGGCGAAGGCGGCCUGCUGGGCAGUAGCUGACACUGAGGCGCGACAGCGUGGGGAGCAACAGG